GACGAACGCUGGCGGCGUGCUUAACACAUGCAAGUCGAACGGUGAAGCCUUUCGGGGUGGAUCAGUGGCGAACGGGUGAGUAACACGUGGGCAACCUGCCCCUGACUUCGGGAUAAGCCCGGGAAACCGGGUCUAAUACCGGAUAUGAUCAUGUCCCGCAUGGGGUGUGGUGGAAAGUUUUUCGGUCAGGGGUGGGCUCGCGGCCUAUCAGCUUGUUGGUGGGGUGAUGGCCUACCAAGGCGACGACGGGUAGCCGGCCUGAGAGGGCGACCGGCCACACUGGGACUGAGACACGGCCCAGACUCCUACGGGAGGCAGCAGUGGGGAAUAUUGCGCGAUGGGCGAAAGCCUGACGCAGCGACGCCGCGUGAGGGAUGAAGGCCCUUCGGGUUGUAAACCUCUUUCAGCAGGGACCAAGGGUGACUGAGUGUACCUGCAGAAGAAGCACC
This 449-nucleotide ribosomal RNA is filed under the name uncultured bacterium. RNAcentral describes it as "bacterial SSU rRNA". It matches the Rfam family "Bacterial small subunit ribosomal RNA", at positions 28 to 494 of the family's 1533-position model. The record is from RNAcentral.